Molecule: ribosomal RNA, 1247 nt
Filed under: Sugarcane whiteleaf phytoplasma
Lineage: Bacteria; Bacillati; Mycoplasmatota; Mollicutes; Acholeplasmatales; Acholeplasmataceae
Description: bacterial SSU rRNA
Rfam family: Bacterial small subunit ribosomal RNA
Source: RNAcentral
GAAACGACUGCUAAGACUGGAUAGGAAAUAAAAAGGCAUCUUUUUAUUUUUAAAAGACCUUUUUCGGAAGGUAUGCUUAAAGAGGGGCUUGCGUCACAUUAGUUAGUUGGCAGGGUAAAGGCCUGCCAAGACUAUGAUGUGUAGCUGGACUGAGAGGUUGAACAGCCACAUUGGGACUGAGACACGGCCCAAACUCCUACGGGAGGCAGCAGUAGGGAAUUUUCGGCAAUGGAGGAAACUCUGACCGAGCAACGCCGCGUGAACGAUGAAGUAUUUCGGUAUGUAAAGUUCUUUUAUUGAAGAAGAAAAAAUAGUGGAAAAACUAUCUUGACGAUAUUCAAUGAAUAAGCCCCGGCAAACUAUGUGCCAGCAGCCGCGGUAAUACAUAGGGGGCGAGCGUUAUCCGGAAUUAUUGGGCGUAAAGGGUGCGUAGGCGGUUUAAUAAGUCUAUAGUUUAAUUUCAGUGCUUAACACUGUCCUGCUAUAGAAACUAUUAGACUAGAGUGAGAUAGAGGCAAGUGGAAUUCCAUGUGUAGCGGUAAAAUGCGUAAAUAUAUGGAGGAACACCAGAGGCGUAGGCGGCUUGCUGGGUCUUUACUGACGCUGAGGCACGAAAGCGUGGGGAGCAAACAGGAUUAGAUACCCUGGUAGUCCACGCCGUAAACGAUGAGUACUAAGUGUCGGGAUUACUCGGUACUGAAGUUAACACAUUAAGUACUCCGCCUGAGUAGUACGUACGCAAGUAUGAAACUUAAAGGAAUUGACGGGACUCCGCACAAGCGGUGGAUCAUGUUGUUUAAUUCGAAGAUACACGAAAAACCUUACCAGGUCUUGACAUACUCUGCAAAGCUAUAGCAAUAUAGUGGAGGUUAUCAGGGAUACAGGUGGUGCAUGGUUGUCGUCAGCUCGUGUCGUGAGAUGUUAGGUUAAGUCCUAAAACGAGCGCAACCCUUGUCAUUAGUUGCCAGCAUGUCAUGAUGGGCACUUUAAUGAGACUGCCAAUGAAAAAUUGGAGGAAGGUGAGGAUCACGUCAAAUCAUCAUGCCCCUUAUGAUCUGGGCUACAAACGUGAUACAAUGGCUGUUACAAAGAGUAGCUGAAACGCAAGUUUAUAGCCAAUCUCAUAAAAGCAGUCUCAGUUCGGAUUGAAGUCUGCAACUCGACUUCAUGAAGUUGGAAUCGCUAGUAAUCGCGAAUCAGCAUGUCGCGGUGAAUACGUUCUCGGGGUUUGUACACACCGCCCGUCA